AGAUAAAAUUCAUGCACUUCAUUGUGUAUAAUAAAAUGAAUAUGUGGAGCUAAGUCUUGUUUUUGUUUUAUGAAUUUUGGCCCAUUUUAUCUAAUGAUAGCUUGAGCCUAGCCAGAAGAGUUUAACAGGAUUUCUAGAGACUCUCUUUUUUCCCACUUUGUGGUGGAAUGUCAUAUGGAUUUCACUUAAAUGAGUAAUUAAACUCCAAUAGGAAACCUUGGUAACAUUUGAAACUGUUUUGCCUCAUAUGUCAUGAACCUCUUCUCACCAUGAGAAGAAAAAUACUUUCCAGCUCAAAUGACUGCUUGGAACCACCCUACCUAAGUUUAGAGAAAGAGGUUAAAAGAGUUAUCCAUGUAGCUCAAAAUCAUUUUCCUUCUAACAUGUUUACCUAUAUUUUUAUAGCUCCUAGCUCUCGUGUCUGUCUCCAAAAAAAAGAAUAAAGACACAGAGCUGAGGGGCAGUGGUUGGGAAAUUACUAAGAGGAAACAUCAAGGAUAAAGGGUUUCUGGCUCAGCUGACUUGAGAAGAUUAUUUCUGAGGGCAGGUCAGGGAGCUAAGAUAUUGGAGAGUGG
RNAcentral lists this long non-coding RNA (575 nucleotides) under Homo sapiens (human). RNAcentral's name for it is "non-protein coding lnc-REG1B-6:1". Lineage: Eukaryota; Metazoa; Chordata; Mammalia; Primates; Hominidae. The record is from RNAcentral.